GGCCCGGGAACCAAGUCCUCUUAAUCUGAAAUAGUUAAGGAAUGAGCUACACUAGCCCAGUAAAGAUGUCACAUUAUCUCACUAUCACAGAAGUAAAGGUUGGUAGAAAACAAAAACGACCAAUGAAGCAUAAUUUAUAACAAAUUCAUUUAUCAAUAAUAAAACCCUUUACUGUCCAUUUACCUCGAUGAGAUUCAUGAAAACAACUUAUGAAAACAAUAACAUUAUAAUAUCAUAAAAUCAUACACACUUUGUAACAUAACACAUGUCAUACUUUUAAUAUUUUAAUCAUCAGG
RNAcentral lists this long non-coding RNA (296 nucleotides) under Carica papaya (papaya). Its description in RNAcentral is "long non-coding RNA (CPAP_LNC001383)". The record is from RNAcentral. Lineage: Eukaryota; Viridiplantae; Streptophyta; Magnoliopsida; Brassicales; Caricaceae.